UACAGAGGGGGCAAGCGUUGUUCGGAAUUACUGGGCGUAAAGGGCGCGUAGGCGGCUCGCUAAGUCGAACGUGAAAUCCCUGGGCUCAACCCAGGAACUGCGUCCGAUACUGGCAGGCUUGAAUCCGGGAGAGGGAUGCGGAAUUCCAGGUGUAGCGGUGAAAUGCGUAGAUAUCGGGAGGAACAUCAGUGGCGAAGGCGACCCUCUGGACCAGCACUGACGCUGAGGCACGAAAGCGUGGGGAGCAAACAGG
RNAcentral lists this ribosomal RNA (253 nucleotides) under uncultured bacterium. Its description in RNAcentral is "partial 16S ribosomal RNA". It matches the Rfam family "Bacterial small subunit ribosomal RNA", at positions 524 to 776 of the family's 1533-position model. The record is from RNAcentral.